Molecule: ribosomal RNA, 301 nt
Filed under: uncultured bacterium
Lineage: Bacteria
Description: partial 16S ribosomal RNA
Rfam family: Bacterial small subunit ribosomal RNA
Source: RNAcentral
CAGCCGCCACGGUAAUACAGAGGGUGCAAGCGUUAAUCGGAUUUACUGGGCGUAAAGGGCGCGUAGGUGGUUAUGUAAGUGAGAUGUGAAAUCCCCGGGCUCAACCUGGGAACUGCAUCUUAUACUGCGUAGCUGGAGUGCAGUAGAGGGUAGUGGAAUUUCCGGUGUAGCGGUGAAAUGCGUAGAUAUCGGAAGGAACACCAGUGGCGAAGGCGGCUACCUGGACUGACACUGACACUGAGGCGCGAAAGCGUGGGGAGCAAACAGGAUUAGAGACCCCCGUAGUCCCUGUCUCUUAUAC